UAUAUGUGCUUUUAUUUUUUAGUUAUGUUCGCUUACUUUUGUUUUGUGUAAUCUUGUUUUACUGGGAUGUUUUGUAUAUAUAUAUAUGCUUAAGUCCGUUGUCAGAGUUUGUGUGCAUGGUAAGCUCGUUAAUUUGUCUUUCCGUAGUAUCUUAUCUUUCUUAAUACCACAACAGAUGACAAAGAUACAGCAUGUUAAACAUUAACAGUGUUAUUUGUUGUCGCAUUUAUAACCAGCUAUCCAGUCUCAAUAGCUGAUAAUCAUAAUAUGAUUUGUAGUAGUCUGAUGUAUGUACCGCUUUAAAUUAAAGUUGCUAUAUUUAUGCAUCUGGUA
Molecule: long non-coding RNA, 333 nt
Filed under: Mytilus galloprovincialis (Mediterranean mussel)
Lineage: Eukaryota; Metazoa; Mollusca; Bivalvia; Mytilida; Mytilidae
Source: RNAcentral